RNAcentral lists this ribosomal RNA (450 nucleotides) under uncultured bacterium. RNAcentral describes it as "bacterial SSU rRNA". It matches the Rfam family "Bacterial small subunit ribosomal RNA", at positions 335 to 799 of the family's 1533-position model. The record is from RNAcentral.
ACUCCUACGGGAGGCAGCAGUGGGGAAUAUUGCACAAUGGGCGCAAGCCUGAUGCAGCAACGCCGUGUGAGUGAAGAAGGUUUUCGGAUCGUAAAACUCUGUCCUAAGGGAAGAAACAAAUGACGGUACCUUAGGAGGAACGCCCCGGCUAACUACGUGCCAGCAGCCGCGGUAAUACGUAGGGGCAAGCGUUAUCCGGAAUCACUGGGCGUAAAGGGUGCGUAGGCGGCUUAGCAAGCCAGGGGUGAAAGGCAUUGGCUCAACCAAUGUAAGCCUUUGGAACUGUUAAGCUUGAGUGCAGGAGAGGUAAGUGGAAUUCCUAGUGUAGAGGUGAAAUUCGUAGAUAUUAGGAGGAACACCAGUGGCGAAGGCGACUUACUGGACUGUAACUGACGCUGAUGCACGAAAGCGUGGGUAGCGAACAGGAUUAGAUACCCUGGUAGCACAGAG